CGGGGCGUAGCGCAGUCUGGUAGCGCGUUCGGUUCGGGUCCGAAAGGUCCCCAGUUCAAAUCUGGGCGCCCCGA
Molecule: transfer RNA, 74 nt
Filed under: bacterium
Lineage: Bacteria
Also listed under: 1 other name
Description: tRNA-Pro
Rfam family: tRNA
About the family: Transfer RNA (tRNA) molecules are approximately 80 nucleotides in length. Their secondary structure includes four short double-helical elements and three loops (D, anti-codon, and T loops).
Source: RNAcentral